Long non-coding RNA from Bubalus bubalis (water buffalo), 1316 nucleotides. RefSeq lists it as uncharacterized. NCBI's taxonomy places the organism in Eukaryota, Metazoa, Chordata, Mammalia, Artiodactyla, Bovidae. The record is from RefSeq and is a predicted model, not a curated record. The transcript is spliced from 4 exons.
CAUUGAACAGUAAUGUGAGUUAAAUAAGGAAACACAUAAAUAUUUGACAUAGGUCUCGUGUUUCUCUGACUUCCUCUUCUUCCUCAUUUGGGUUCUUUGAACCAAACCAUCAAACCUCUUUUGGGGGAUUUUCACUUGUGGUGGCCACCAAGUUCAGAAAGGUCUAAAAGAACUGGUGGGAACCUUUUUCCUUGGGGGCAUCUAAAAAUUGUAUCUGGACAAAGUGUUAGAGCCAAGCUUUGGAGUAGACAGACCGGGCCCCUAGGGAGCAAGGCAAGGAAGUGAUGUCAUAGAGUGAUCUCUGGCUCCUCUGGCAGAGGUGACUGGGCAGGACCCAGGGAUCGGGGUGGACAUGUUUGGGAAAUGUGUGUGAGAUCACGUCAGGCCCCGUGGACAUGGUGGAGGAGGGAGGCCUGUGAGAAAGAGGCAGUUGGCUUUGCCCAUCUCGAUCGUGUCCUGAGGAACGCUGGGUCAGGAAAUGCCCAGCGUUUCUUUACUGUUUACUGGACGCCAGACCCACAGAUUUGGAAGGUUGCCUUGGGAGUCAUGAAAAGAUGAAGGGAGAAGGAGGAGGAGCAUUGGUUUUCUGCCUCUUGUGGGACUGCCCUGGAGAUUCAAGAUGGAGUUCUGCAGAAUGGGAUGAGGGUAGGGAAGCCCCAACUGAGAGAACAAAGACAUCAAGUUGAAAGGAGCUCUCAGCUUGGUGGAUGAAAAUGACAGCCACAACACCUGCAAACUCCUCUGUAGGAACUUCAGUGGAGCUGUGUAGCAGAGCACUCUGGAAUGCCAAAGGGAGGAUGGGAAUGAUACUGGGGAAGGCUGCAGUUACAAAUAUUGGAUGCAAGCUUUGGAUGUCUGAGAGGGCCUGGACUUCUGCAAACCACAGUUUCCAUAUCCCCUGUGUAGCUUCAGCCAAGGGGAAGCAGUGGUUGGAUGUUGGAAGGUGGGAGGAAGUGAGAAGAUAUGUUCUUUGUGCAAUUUUUGGGAGUGACUGCAUUUCUGAAGAUUCUAACCUCAGCCACAACAGUUCAGUACCAGCUUGGAAGAACCCUCCCUGGUGGUCCUACAACAGACCCAGAGGUCCCUUCUUCAUGAUUCUAUCGCCCUUUCUGGCACCCCUAGAAAUGCAGUCAUAAGUACAUUCCUGCCCUUGGAUAAUAACAUGCUGUUGUCUCUGUCUGAACCCUUGGAGUAGUAGCUGCUUUCUGCUUUUUCCUAGUCUUCAGCUUACCUCAACUUUUCCUAUUUAUUCUUCUAGCAUUUCCAACACUUUGUAAGUAGUUCAUUGGAUUAAAUCCUCUGAUUUGAAAUAUUAA